This 468-nucleotide ribosomal RNA is filed under the name uncultured bacterium. RNAcentral's name for it is "partial 16S ribosomal RNA". It matches the Rfam family "Bacterial small subunit ribosomal RNA", at positions 28 to 507 of the family's 1533-position model. The record is from RNAcentral.
GACGAACGCUGGCGGCGUGCUUAACACAUGCAAGUCGAACGGAAAGGCCCUGCUUUUGUGGGGUGCUCGAGUGGCGAACGGGUGAGUAACACGUGAGUAACCUGCCCUUGACUUUGGGAUAACUUCAGGAAACUGGGGCUAAUACCGGAUAGGAGCUCCUGCUGCAUGGUGGGGGUUGGAAAGUUUCGGCGGUUGGGGAUGGACUCGCGGCUUAUCAGCUUGUUGGUGGGGUAGUGGCUUACCAAGGCUUUGACGGGUAGCCGGCCUGAGAGGGUGACCGGCCUCAUUGGGACUGGUUUACGGCCCAGCCUCCUCCGGGAGGCAGCCGUGGGGAAUAUUGCCCAAUGGGCGGAAGCCUGAUGCAGCAACGCCGCGUGCCGGAUGACGGCCUUCUCGUUGUGCACCGCUUUCGCCUCUGCCGAAGCGUGAGUGACGGUAAUGAGUAAAGAAGCACCGGCUAACUACGUG